Molecule: non-coding RNA, 31 nt
Filed under: Macaca fascicularis (crab-eating macaque)
Lineage: Eukaryota; Metazoa; Chordata; Mammalia; Primates; Cercopithecidae
Also listed under: 1 other name
Source: RNAcentral
UACAUCCUGUGGGUGUAUGAUGUAUGUGGUU